RNAcentral lists this ribosomal RNA (451 nucleotides) under uncultured bacterium. RNAcentral's name for it is "bacterial SSU rRNA". It matches the Rfam family "Bacterial small subunit ribosomal RNA", at positions 340 to 786 of the family's 1533-position model. The record is from RNAcentral.
UACGGAAGGCAGCAGUGGGGAAUAUUGCACAAUGGGCGCAAGCCUGAUGCAGCCAUGCCGCGUGUAUGAAGAAGGCCUUCGGGUUGUAAAGUACUUUCAGUCGUGAGGAAGGUGUUAAGGUUAAUAACCUUAGCAAUUGACGUUAGCGACAGAAGAAGCACCGGCUAACUCCGUGCCAGCAGCCGCGGUAAUACGGAGGGUGCGAGCGUUAAUCGGAAUUACUGGGCGUAAAGGGCACGCAGGCGGUUAAUUAAGUUGGAUGUGAAAUCCCCGGGCUUAACCUGGGAAUGGCAUUCAAGACUGGUUAGCUAGAGUCUUGUAGAGGGGGUAGAAUUCCAUGUGUAGCGGUGAAAUGCGUAGAGAUGUGGAGGAAUACCGGUGGCGAAGGCGGCCCCUGGCAAAGGACUGACGCUCAUGUGCGAAAGCUGGGGAGCAAACAGGAUUAGAUACC